GACGAACGCUGGCGGCGUGCUUAACACAUGCAAGUCGAACGGAAAGGCCCAGCUUGCUGGGUACGCGAGUGGCGAACGGGUGAGUAACACGUGGGUGAUCUGCCCCUGCACUCUGGGAUAAGCCUGGGAAACUGGGUCUAAUACCGGAUAUGACCAACUGUCUCAUGGUGGUUGGUGGAAAGCUUUUGCGGUGUGGGAUGGGCCCGCGGCCUAUCAGCUUGUUGGUGGGGUAAUGGCCUACCAAGGCGACGACGGGUAGCCGACCUGAGAGGGUGAUCGGCCACACUGGGGACUGAGACACGGCCCAGACUCCUACGGGAGGCAGCAGUGGGGAAUAUUGCACAAUGGGCGCAAGCCUGAUGCAGCGACGCCGCGUGAGGGGAUGACGGCCUU
Molecule: ribosomal RNA, 393 nt
Filed under: uncultured bacterium
Lineage: Bacteria
Description: bacterial SSU rRNA
Rfam family: Bacterial small subunit ribosomal RNA
Source: RNAcentral